AGUAAUACAUCGGAACGUGCCCUGUAGUGGGGGAUAACUAGUCGAAAGAUUAGCUAAUACCGCAUACGACCUGAGGGUGAAAGUGGGGGACCGCAAGGCCUCAUGCUAUAGGAGCGGCCGAUGUCUGAUUAGCUAGUUGGUGAGGUAAAGGCUCACCAAGGCGACGAUCAGUAGCCGGUCUGAGAGGACGAUCAGCCACACUGGGACUGAGACACGGCCCAG
This 222-nucleotide ribosomal RNA is filed under the name uncultured bacterium. Its description in RNAcentral is "partial 16S ribosomal RNA". It matches the Rfam family "Bacterial small subunit ribosomal RNA", at positions 109 to 334 of the family's 1533-position model. The record is from RNAcentral.